UACGUAGGACGCAAGCGUUAUCCGGAUUUACUGGGCGUAAAGCGCGGGCAGGCGGCUUCGCAAGUCUGGUGUGAAAUCUCCCGGCUCAACCGGGAGCAGCCACUGGAAACUAUGGAGCUGGAGUCUGGCAGAGGUAGGCGGAAUUCCGGGUGUAGCGGUGAAAUGCGUAGAUAUCCGGAGGAACACCGGUGGCGAAGGCGGCUUCCUGGACCGACACUGACGCUGAGGCGCGAAAGCUAGGGGAGCAAACGGG
This 253-nucleotide ribosomal RNA is filed under the name uncultured bacterium. RNAcentral's name for it is "partial 16S ribosomal RNA". It matches the Rfam family "Bacterial small subunit ribosomal RNA", at positions 524 to 776 of the family's 1533-position model. The record is from RNAcentral.